GCCACCUCGGUAAGUAUGUUUUCCAAAUCAGGUAGUAUUGGAUUCUUUUCAAGGGUAACUUAACUAAACUAGCUAACGGUAGCCAGUAGAGAUUGGCUACCAGCACCAAUGCACUUUAUGUGUAGCACAAUUGUUUCUAUAAACAGUAAAACUCCCACCGGUAAGUAAUGCAGUGGGAUGAACUCAUGAGCUGAAAAACAAGGUGUGUAAAUGUGAGUUCAAGAUUAUGUGAAGAUGUUCUGAGCAGCAAAGCAUAAAUUAUAUAAUUUAGCAUUACAGCUAACCGAGGCUACUUGUCACCCCUCAGGCCCACAAAUGACACUGUAGAUUGUUGGUCAAAUGGAAAUCUGCCAUCUCACCUUGGCUUACCUGCUGGCCUUUACUCACAAGAUAAAACCGUUCUCUGCUUGGCUAGAGAGAGAGAGAGAGAGAGAGAGAGAGUAGUAAUGCUGAUGGAGGACAGAGGCAGUCACAAUGAUAAAGACAUUUAAUUUAAUGUGAAUAAGGUACCAGAGUGCAUACUGUAAAAAAGCAUAAAAUGUAUCUCUCUUUGUUUCUACAUGUUCCUGCUUUUUUGUCCUUUGCCAAUCACAACCCUGGUUUUUGACUGCUGGGCAUAUAAACAUUAAAAACACAUGAAAGAUAAUGUUGCUAAUAUUUUGCUAAUGUCUCUUCAGGCUCCAACCAGCUACAAUAACACACCUGGGCCAGCCACACCCACCACCUCCACCGCGACAUCAUACAGCUCGGGCUCCAGCACCAGUGCUAUCAUACCUUUACCAGCAACAGACUUCGCUCCAGUGACUUGUCUGUCAAAUGACUACCAAGGAAGACAUCAGAUUUCCAAAGAGGAGCUUGAACAUGUUCUUUCACUGAAAACCACCUUUACAGAAGCGGCAUCUAUUCUCUCAAUCUCAAGGCCAAGUUACUGCAAGACUAUAAUAUCCCAACGUCAAAAUUGAAGAGCAUCAGUGAUCAACAAUUGGAUCUUGAAGUGUCACAAAUAAAAACUGAACACCCAAAUGCUGGAGAAGUGAUGCUUAUGGGGCAUCUCGGCUCCAAAAACAUUGUGGUUCAAAGACAGUGUGUAAGAGAUUCACUUCGAAGGAUGGACCCAAUUGGUGUCCUAGCCAGGAGAAGAACAGCAAUAGCUCAGCGAGUAUACUCUGUCCCAACUCCAAAUUUCCUAUGGCAUGUAGACGGAAAUCAUAAGUUGAUUAGGUGGAAAUUGGUUGUUCAUGGUGCCAUAGACGGCUACAGUAGGAUGUUGAUGUUUCUUCACUGCUCCAACAAUAAUCGUGCUGAAACUGUGAGAGACCUCUUUACUGCAGCUGUUGGACAGUUUGGCAGACCACUGCACAUCAGGACUGAUCACAGAGGAGAGAACGUUCAGAUUUGGGAGGACAUGCAUGCGAGCAGGGGGGAAGGCUCUGUCUUAACAGGAAGUUCUGUACACAACCAGAGGAUCGAGCGUUUUAACCGAGACUUGAACACAAACUGCAGUCAUAUUUAUACACCCAUUUUCUAUGAACUGGAAUCCCUGGGUAUCCUAGACAUGGACAAUGCAACAGACCUAUUUUUUUUCCAUUAUGUCUUUCUACCCAGAAUCAACCGCACUUUGGAGGAAUUCAAAGCUGGAUUUAACAAUCACUCUGUCAUCUGAAGGAAAUGGAACACCAGUUCAGGUUUUUACUCUGGACAGGGAUUUGCCUCAUCUUCACAACCAAGAACUCUCAACAGCAGGGGUAGUUUUUUGUUCCUCCCCAAACUCUCAAAGAGGAUUUUCCCAAUUGAAUGACAGGGAUUUGCAAGAACUGAAUGAUGCCAUUAACCCUCUUCAAAAUGACCACAACAAUGGCAAAACAUUGUUUCAGAGAACACAACAGUAUAUUUUUGAUAAACUUGUAAAUGUGUGAUCUUAGCAUAACAUGGACAACUGGGUAACAUUAGCCUUAUUGUACUUUCAAAAGUACACUGUGAAACAAAUAUUGAUGUUUUGUUGUGCUUCUUGAACUGCAAGAUUUAAAGCCUCUUGCCAGCAUAUAGAUGUUUGAAAAUUACAUGAUGGCACAUAGUUGAUGUCAGUGUUGAAAAAGGCUACAGAUGCACUUUGGCAACUGUUACAGAGUUUUAUGUCAAGUCAAAAGCAAUGGUACUGUGGAUAAAUACAAGAUGACUCCUGUUAUUUGAAAGAACAGUGAAAUACUUUUCGGGGCUCUACAGAUGUAUUGAUACAUAACUGUCUUCCACUACAUUGCAGUAUGUUGUUCCUGAUUUUUAAAGUACCUAAAUAUGCAAAGUAAAACUUCUUAGUGAAGUAAAACGAUACCUGUCAGUGUUUUAUUAUAUCUUAUAAAUUACAUACAUAACUAUGGUAUCUUUAUUAUGUAUCUCUGAGAAGAUGGCUGUUCAUAAGGUCAGAAAAAAAAGUUUUUAGCUUUGUGACGAUGCAUUUUGCAGCUAAACCAAAAGGUUUUGUAAAGAGC
Molecule: long non-coding RNA, 2486 nt
Organism: Dicentrarchus labrax (European seabass)
Lineage: Eukaryota; Metazoa; Chordata; Actinopteri; Moronidae
Exons: 3
Source: RefSeq, a predicted model, not a curated record